GACGAACGCUGGCGGCGUGCUUAACACAUGCAAGUCGAACGGAAAGACCCUGCUUUUGUGGGGUGCUCGAGUGGCGAACGGGUGAGUAACACGUGAGUAACCUGCCCUUGACUUUGGGAUAACUUCAGGAAACUUGGGCUAAUACCGGAUAGGAGCUCCUGCUGCAUGGUGGGGGUUGGAAAGUUUCGGCGGUUGGGGAUGGACUCGCGGCUUAUCAGCUUGUGGGUGGGGUAGUGGCUUACCAAGGCUUUGACGGGUAGCCGGCCUGAGAGGGUGACCGGCGACAUGGGGACUGAGAUACGGACCAGACUCCUACGGGAGGCAGCAGUGGGGAAUAUUGCACAAUGGGGGGAAGCCUGAUGCAGCAACGCCGCGUGCGGGAUGACGGCCUUCGGGUUGUAAACCGCUUUCGCCUGUGACGAAGCGUGAGUGACGGUAAUGGGUAAAGAAGCACCGGCUAACUACGUG
RNAcentral lists this ribosomal RNA (468 nucleotides) under uncultured bacterium. RNAcentral's name for it is "partial 16S ribosomal RNA". It matches the Rfam family "Bacterial small subunit ribosomal RNA", at positions 28 to 507 of the family's 1533-position model. The record is from RNAcentral.